CUAAUUUCCAGUAUGCAAACAAAGUGAGCAGCUGAGCGUUAUACAAAGCAGGACUGGCUGUGAGACUUCAGCAUAUUUUCUUUUCUCCCCUGGACUGGUGGCACUCAACUUCGGUGGAUCUUGCAAGGGAAACAAGACAAAUUAAAUACAUUUAAUUUGCAGAGUAUUUAUUAUACAGAACUGUAGAACUUCUCACAGUAAGAAGAGGGAGAGAAGAAUACCGGAGAAACAAAUAUGGAGAACAAAAGUAAAGCUACACAUCUUCCUGAAAAUUCUACUCCCCUGGAACUCAGACUUCCAUUUCAGAAACCAUUCUGAGGUUUGGAUCUUCUUGACACAAAUUCAGCAGAUCUUCCCAUGUGCAUCUUCAGGCUUUGGAUGAGCAUGUGUUUUUUCUUGCAUCUAGAACCUCAUCCUUCUUACAGAAGUGCUGACUGAGUGAAGAUCAGUGUACUCCUCACAGCAGUAGACAUUGUAUUAAUUCAGGACAUUGCUUA
Centrocercus urophasianus (Greater sage-grouse) is the source of this 497-nucleotide long non-coding RNA. RefSeq lists it as uncharacterized. Lineage: Eukaryota; Metazoa; Chordata; Aves; Galliformes; Phasianidae. The record is from RefSeq and is a predicted model, not a curated record. The transcript is spliced from 3 exons.